GGUCUGCUGGCGUAGUUAGAAGCGCAUCUGACUACAAAUCGGAAGGUUCCAAGUUCGAGCCCUAGGUGGAUCG
Triangularia verruculosa is the source of this 73-nucleotide non-coding RNA. The record is from the annotation of a GenBank genome assembly. NCBI's taxonomy places the organism in Eukaryota, Fungi, Ascomycota, Sordariomycetes, Sordariales, Podosporaceae.